Molecule: unclassified non-coding RNA, 3901 nt
Filed under: Leishmania donovani
Lineage: Eukaryota; Euglenozoa; Kinetoplastea; Trypanosomatida; Trypanosomatidae
Description: gene:LdHU3.33.4040(CDS-product:Domain_of_unknown_ function_(DUF4520)_putative)
Source: RNAcentral
AGACGCACUCGUGUUACUCCGCUGAGAAGUGAGGGACGGGCUACGGUUGUAGUGGCCACUAAAACGCUAAGGGAUCGCUGCGCGUGUGGUGCACGGAGCCACACAAAGACCAGGCCUCGCGCACCUCAUCUUCUUUACCGUUCAUUGGUGUUUUUUUUUGGUCAUCCAUGCUGAGGCCGUCGCCCCUGGCGGACUCUGUUGUCCGCGCUUCCGCGUGGGAUGACGGCGGGGCGGAGUUCAUCUUUGCCGACGGCACCAUUAUGUCUUUUGUGGACAAUAUGAACACGUUCGUAGCGGUGCGCAGCAACCCUAGUCCUCGCGACACGCAGCGGGCAGUGAGUCACGCGGCCCGCCGGCGACAGCAGGAGGAGAGGCGGCAGCGGCUGUCGCCGACAACCGCUGCCGCAGAAGUUGAAUAUGUCGACUCGAUCGACGGCCCCGACGAUGAUGACGAUAACCGCGAACUGUGCUUUACAGCCUGGACGCUCAGCAGGGACGUGGGUAAGGUGCGGGCGGCUCUCCAAAUCUUCAACAGCCUCAGCGAACAGCCGCGGCUGCUGGCGUCGCUGCUGCCUUCAGAAAUCCCUGCACCUCUUCUCUCGCCUUCCUUGUUGCCAGCUAGCGCUUCUUCGGUGACACCGGCGUAUUCGAUGGUGGGAUCUUGUGGCGUGUGGCAAGAGUCGGGGCCUCCGAUCGACACCCUGUUGCUGGAGCGGCGCGCUGACCUGUUCCGGCGACACGUCGUGUUUGGCACCGUUCGCGAGUGGAUGCCCGUUUCUUCAGCCGCUACGCAGCGGCAGCCAGUGGUUCCAAGCGCGGCGCGGAACUCUCUACCGGGGGCAGAGUCAUGUCUCAUAGAUGCCACGGCCGCGGCUCCGACUACUCUGGAGCGUGCGGCAGAGUUGAGAGUGGCAGAGAGCCCACCUGCGCACACAGGGUAUGGCGAUGAUUCGAGUGUCGCGCUCCCCAAGGAAGUGCCCGUUGGCACGGUACUCGAGCUAUGGUGUGCUCUGCGCCGUGUUUGUAUGACGGUUGCGGUGCACCGCGAAACCUUCACAGUGCGGUGGCCAGCUCCGGUGACUCGCAGCGAUGGAUCGCGACUACCGCAGUCGUUUCACGCGCGAGACACUGCGGCAUUGCAUCUGUCACCAGGUUCGCCCAGCUGGUCCUCCUCCGUCUCUCCCCCGGGCUCUGCAUCGGCGCCACUGCUGUUCACAUGCAUAGAGCAGACGUUCCCAGUGCGUGAUCCACCAGACGCGUGGCGGACGAUGCUGCUGCUGGCGCUAGAGCUGGACGCAGAGCUUCCUGGAGCGGAGAAGGAAAGCAGCGCCCCCAGUGCGGCGCCAGCGUCACCGUCUCACACCAGCGUCGGCGCACUAGGCACAGAGCCCGGCGACAAUGUCAGCCGUUCUGCUUCCUGGCAUGGCUGCUUGCCUGAGCCGCACCGCUGGAGUGGUGCGCUGAACCAGCACCGUAACACCAACCCGUGUCGUUUCUCUCGACUGACUGCAUUGCAGGCGGCGCACCUCGCUGCACCGCGGACGGCACGCGCCGUGGACGCGAUGCGUGCGCUUCACCCACGUGGAACGCGACUUUGUUGGAUGUACGAGGCGAACCACUGCGGCGCGAGUCGGGGGAGCCCGUCUGCCGUGUACUGGUGUCUGCGGGAGUCCGCUGAAGCGACACCCAUCAAGGGAAACCUCGGCGGCACCUCGACGGCGGCGCCGCUUCGGGCUACCGAAGUUGUGGUGUGGGUGGCCGAAGAUGGCAGUGUUGUGCGAACCACGCUCGAGGGACAGGGCUACACCGUUAGACAUCAUCGUCUUCACUUGUCAUUGUCUGGUGCGAUGGCACCAGCGCCGGCUGUUUACCGACUUCAGGCGCACGACAUUGCGGCAGCGAUGGCGCCAGUAGACAAGCGCCUGCCAUCGACUAUCGCGCCACUGCGCUGCCACGUUCCCGUGCUGCCCCAGUCAGCGUCAGCAGCCGCAGCAGCCUCUCCGGAGGUGCUUGCAGUCGCCAUCAUUGACCCUCAAAGCCUCUACUGCUUGCCAGCGUCCUUGACGGACGGCCUACAACGAGGCUGCACCGCGGCCACCGUCACUCCUGCGUGUGCGUGCUCUGCCUUGGCGGCGCUCACCGCGAUGUUGGUGUCAAGCGAGCAGCGUUUCCCUGGAUACAUGGACUCGCACUGCAGCGCAACAGCAGGAGCGCUGUCGCUUGCGUCGCUGGGCAGGGGUGUCACGUGUAAGAGAGUAGCGCCUUUGGAAGCCAACGACGCGGUGCGCCGCCUGCGCUUCGGCCGCUACAUCGCCUCUGUGGUGGACGUCGCCAUUCAAUUGUCCCAGGUGAACUGCUCCGCCCAGCGUGCGGCUGACGCCGCCAGGCCAUCGACAGGCCAGCCACGACGCGCUGCGUACUGUUGCGCCAGACCGGCAGCGACUUCGCCGUCGUGCUGGUCGCUUAGUGCGCACGGCUUGUCAUGCCGCAAGGGAGCCCACUCAGCCGCGGCGACGACCACCUCCCGUAGCGCUUCCGCUGCCUCUGUUGUCUACUUGACAAGUCGGCUGGACGGCAUCGGCACCUUCACAGCACUCACCAACGGCACCAUUCGGGCCCACUUUGACGAUCGCACCCUCCUUACACUCGUCCCCGGCGUGAACGAGAUGGACGAAGAGGAGCUGCUGGCGACGUGUGUACUGCGCAACGCCACACGGUGUACAAUGCGCGCGGCGCAGUGCCACCCUGGGCACGCGAUGCACCGCUACUUGGCCUACGCGCUCCCGUUUCGUCGAUAUGUGUACUGGCGGGCUUUAAACCCGCGUGAACCGGCUGUCAUGGACGGUGGAUGUGCUGGGGUCUCGGCCAGCGAAAGACAUGCGACAGCGCUGCAGGAGCAACCGCAGCAGCAUCAGAAGCAAAGCCCCAGCGCAGCGGAGGUGGAUAGACUCGAACACACCACAGCCCGCGACGACGCUUCUGCGUCACUGGCUGGCAUCUCCGCAAUGGAGGCAGGUGUGUCUCUGAUGGAACCCCCGCUUGCGGAUGAGUCUGCAUGUCUUCUGCCGAGCUUGCGGUCGUGUUCCUUGGCCACAUCCUUCGGUGCGUCGGGCGACGACGACGAGCGCGUUGCAACCGUGUUGAGCAACGCCGUUUGGGCUCCAGAUGUGAAGUAUGAGCCACCACACUAUCCGCUGCCUAGUGGCCCGACGUGCUCUCCGCCAGUCUGCCUCUUCACCUCCGAUGCCGUGAUGUCUCAAGGCACCUUGAGCGACACUUUCCCAGCAUGGGGACUGGUAGACACACAGCGAACGAUGCAAACAUACUACGACGCCGAAGUAGCCGAGGGUGCGGCGCAGCAGGCCCGACUGCAGGAGCUCCUUGAUCAAAACGAGGCCCUUUCGAAAGCCACCCGAGCUCUUCUGCGCGACUAGAUGGGGAGUGGUGAAGGAGGGUGAAGGAGAAAGAUUGCAGUGGAGAGGCCGUGGCUAUGAAGCACGCGAGUUUUGUGUUUGCGCAUGUGCGCGUGCUUACGCUUUUUUUAUUGUCACUAGAUGCGACUGAACUUCAUAGAUUCCGCAGAGGAGGAGGGAGAGGGAGGAGAGGCACGCACAGACACAGACACAAGCCCCUGUGCCCAUUCUCUUCCCAUGUGUGUCACUGACCGGCACGAGGUCUUCGCUCUCUGUAUGCUCUUUGCUCAGAGAAGACACCACCUAAGGAAAUCACUGGCUUGCGCCGGUUUACAAGUGCGGCAGCGUCUGGAGCGUGGAAUCGAUGUGCCUGGGCGGCAUGCGUUGUUUCCGUUGCGCCUCCUGUGCUCACCACUGUGCAAAUGGAGAGGAGAGACGUGUGUGUGUGUGUGUGUGGGGGGGGGUCCAUGUCCCCUGGCGUGCAAACU